UUUUUUUUUUUUUUUUCCCUUUUUGUUGCAUCACCCGUCUCAUUUUCUUUUGUUAGAUUGAUGAUAUGGUACUGAUGCUAUGAGUUGUUUUUUCUCUUUUAACAUUUUCAGAAAAUAUAGUCUUUCAUUUGGUGUACAUCUCUCUCUCUUAUAUUUAUUGGAUUAAAUUUGAAAUUUUUUGUCAAAGAAAAGAAGACAUUGCUCUCACACUCUGAAUCCCAACACAUGCUAGCUGUUGUACUUAGUGUUGUCAAUGUUUUGAAGCAUAAUUGCAGGACCAGUGAAGGGCCCAAAAGAGAAGGGCGUUUUUUGAAAUUUAUUUGUUGACGUUGUAAAUUGAAAGUUUAUGCAAAAUCCUAUGAAAAUAUUUGAAUAUAUCAA
Molecule: unclassified non-coding RNA, 381 nt
Filed under: Hevea brasiliensis (rubber tree)
Lineage: Eukaryota; Viridiplantae; Streptophyta; Magnoliopsida; Malpighiales; Euphorbiaceae
Source: RNAcentral